Molecule: ribosomal RNA, 253 nt
Filed under: uncultured bacterium
Lineage: Bacteria
Description: partial 16S ribosomal RNA
Rfam family: Bacterial small subunit ribosomal RNA
Source: RNAcentral
UACGUAGGGCGCAAGCGUUGUCCGGAAUUAUUGGGCGUAAAGAGCUCGUAGGCGGCUUGUCACGUCGGAUGUGAAAGCCCGGGGCUUAACUCCGGGCCUGCAGUGGGUACGGGCAGACUAGAGUGCGGUAGGGGAGACUGGAAUUCCUGGUGUAGCGGUGAAAUGCGCAGAUAUCAGGAGGAACACCGGUGGCGAAGGCGGGUCUCUGGGCCGUAACUGACGCUGAGGAGCGAAAGCGUGGGGAGCGAACAGG